RNAcentral lists this ribosomal RNA (750 nucleotides) under Vagococcus sp. SD3S2L1. RNAcentral's name for it is "bacterial SSU rRNA". It matches the Rfam family "Bacterial small subunit ribosomal RNA", at positions 52 to 773 of the family's 1533-position model. The record is from RNAcentral. Lineage: Bacteria; Bacillati; Bacillota; Bacilli; Lactobacillales; Enterococcaceae.
UACAUGCAAGUCGAACGCUUUACUUUUCACCGGAGCUUGCUCCACCGAAAAGUAAAGAGUGGCGGACGGGUGAGUAACACGUGGGCAACCUGCCCAACAGAGGGGGAUAACACUUGGAAACAGGUGCUAAUACCGCAUAAUUUGUUUUCCCGCAUGGGAGAAUAAUAAAAGACGCCUUACGGUGUCACUGUUGGAUGGGCCCGCGCUGCAUUAGUUAGUUGGUGGGGUAAUGGCCUACCAAGACCGUGAUGCAUAGCCGACCUGAGAGGGUGAUCGGCCACACUGGGACUGAGACACGGCCCAGACUCCUACGGGAGGCAGCAGUAGGGAAUCUUCGGCAAUGGACGAAAGUCUGACCGAGCAACGCCGCGUGAGUGAAGAAGGUUUUCGGAUCGUAAAACUCUGUUGUUAGAGAAGAACAAGUGGGAGAGUAACUGUUCCCACCUUGACGGUAUCUAACCAGAAAGCCACGGCUAACUACGUGCCAGCAGCCGCGGUAAUACGUAGGUGGCAAGCGUUGUCCGGAUUUAUUGGGCGUAAAGCGAGCGCAGGUGGUCUUUUAAGUCUGAUGUGAAAGCCCUCGGCUCAACCGAGGAAGGUCAUUGGAAACUGGAGGACUUGAGUGCAGAAGAGGAGAGUGGAAUUCCAUGUGUAGCGGUGAAAUGCGUAGAUAUAUGGAGGAACACCAGUGGCGAAGGCGACUCUCUGGUCUGUAACUGACACUGAGGCUCGAAAGCGUGGGGAGCAAAC